This 253-nucleotide ribosomal RNA is filed under the name uncultured bacterium. Its description in RNAcentral is "partial 16S ribosomal RNA". It matches the Rfam family "Bacterial small subunit ribosomal RNA", at positions 524 to 776 of the family's 1533-position model. The record is from RNAcentral.
UACGUAGGGUGCGAGCGUUAAUCGGAAUUACUGGGCGUAAAGGGCUCGUAGGCGGCCAACUAAGUCAGACGUGAAAUCCCUCGGCUUAACCGGGGAACUGCGUCUGAUACUGGAUGGCUGGAGGUUGGGAGAGGGAUGCGGAAUUCCAGGUGUAGCGGUGAAAUGCGUAGAUAUCUGGAGGAACACCGGUGGCGAAGGCGGCAUCCUGGACCAAUUCUGACGCUGAGGAGCGAAAGCCAGGGGAGCAAACGGG